AAUCUCUGGAGAAUCCCAUAGGCUUGCAGACAGGCAAAACCUGCAACAGAAUGGGUACCGAAGGUGCAAGAUUGUGUGACGGUGCUGUGCCGUAACCUUUCGAAUCUCUCAGGUAAAAAGACAGAGCU
Molecule: non-coding RNA, 128 nt
Filed under: uncultured Anaerovibrio sp.
Lineage: Bacteria; Bacillati; Bacillota; Negativicutes; Selenomonadales; Selenomonadaceae
Description: Glycine riboswitch
Rfam family: Glycine riboswitch aptamer
About the family: This family represents the bacterial glycine riboswitch. Glycine riboswitches usually consist of two metabolite-binding aptamers domains with similar structures in tandem.
Source: RNAcentral